AUGGUAGACGCGGUAAUGUCGUUGAAUAUCACUGUGAAAAGUGAAGACUCCGAGUCCUUUGACGAUGAAGACGAAUCAUCUUCGCUGCUUUCGGGCAAAAGAGCCACGGAGUCUGCAGCUCGUCAUGAUAUUUCUCCGGGAGAAGGCGGUCCAAUAGAAGACCAUGCAGGAUAUUCAACACAGCAUGGGCGGCUAGCAACUAAAACGACCAGCAAACCCAUCGUACUGUAUCCUGUGAGUGCUGACCGUUUCUUUUCCUCGACUUCUGCAGAUGGCAAAACCAUCUUAAAGAUAGCUCCAGCCGCAGUCAUGACCCUCCCGACUCCUCGGCCUCCUCCCCAGGUUUCCCCAGAGUUCUCCUACCAGGCCAUCGUGUACUUGAUCGAAGCAGUGGGGCGCCGCUGGAGCCUGUACGGGACGCGGGAGCGUUCGCAGCUCUUCCAGAGCGUGCAGAAGGAGUUGGAGGAGCAGGGUCAUUGUCUUCCCGUUGAGAAGAUCCGCCGCAAGUGGAACAACUUGAUCGUCACCUACAAGAGGGUCAAAUACAGAGGCAGGGAGACCGGCCAGGCCAGAACCUCCUGGGAGUACUUUGAGAUGAUGGAUGCCAUGCUUGGUGACACCAUUGGCGCCGAGACCACUAGCAGCCCUACCCUAGUAACCAGCAUCCCUAAGGUGAACGUCGCCAUGGAAACCGCCAAAACAGAGCAGAAGCCCCUCCUUCCCCAUGGCAACCUCAUCACUGCAUGCACUCGGACACUCACCCUUGUCCCCUCCUCCCUCCCACUCCACACGCCAGUUCCCUCCACCCUCCCUCUCUACACCUUUGUCAGAUCCCUCCCUCCCCCUACCCCCGUCCGCUCCUCCCUCCCUCUUCCCACCCCCUUGGACACACCCUCCCCCAGGAUAGCCAAUAACACAGACCCUCUACAGCCAAACCCCUCCCCUGCUCCGGUCGCAAAGCCCCCUGCCUCCCGUCACAUCCCCUCCAACCUCAGCCGCAUAGACCUCCGCAGAAAGAAGCGCUGUCGCUUCCUCUCCAAGGGAUCCUCCAUUACCUCCCUUCUGGCCCAGCAGCAGAGGCGAGCGGAAGAAGGCACCUCCUUGCUGCAGGAGUUCCUGAGGAGGCAGGAGGGGCAGGCCAAGGAGGAGCAGGGGCAUCGCAGCAGGAUGGAGGCCCGGGGGAGGAGGCGCGAGAGGAGGGAGGCGCGCAUGGCAGAGUCCCUGGGUAGGAUGGCAACGGCUCUGGAGCUGCUUUCCUCCAAACAGGACACAGUCAUUGCCCUGCUGCAGAGACUGGCUGAGAGAGACAGGAAGUGA
RNAcentral lists this long non-coding RNA (1317 nucleotides) under Oncorhynchus kisutch (coho salmon). RNAcentral describes it as "lncRNA (ENSOKIG00005009351.1)". Lineage: Eukaryota; Metazoa; Chordata; Actinopteri; Salmoniformes; Salmonidae. The record is from RNAcentral.